CCUACGGGUGGCAGCAGUCGAGAAUCAUUCACAAUGGGGGAAACCCUGAUGGUGCGACGCCGCGUGGGGGAAUGAAGGUCUUCGGAUUGUAAACCCCUUUUAUGUGGGAGCAAAUUAAAAAGCUAGUACCACUAUAGGAAUAGACGGCUAACUCUGUGCCAGCAGCCGCGGUAAUACAGAGGGCGCAAGCGUUGUUCGGAAUCACUGGGCGUAAAGCGUGCGUAGGCUGGAUCGUAAGUCGUGUGUGAAAGGCGCGGGCUCAACCCGCGGAUGGCACAUGAUACUGGGGGACUAGAGUAAUGGAGGGGGAGCCGGAAUUCUUGGUGUAGCGGUGAAAUGCGUAGAUAUCGAGAGGAACACUCGUGGCGAAGGCGGGUUCCUGGACCUUAACUGACGCUGAGGCACGAAGGCGAGGGGAGCGAAAGGGAUUAGAUACCCUAGUAGUC
RNAcentral lists this ribosomal RNA (446 nucleotides) under uncultured bacterium. Its description in RNAcentral is "partial 16S ribosomal RNA". It matches the Rfam family "Bacterial small subunit ribosomal RNA", at positions 338 to 795 of the family's 1533-position model. The record is from RNAcentral.